Molecule: unclassified non-coding RNA, 1501 nt
Filed under: uncultured fungus
Lineage: Eukaryota; Fungi
Description: sequence contains 18S rRNA gene, ITS1, 5.8S rRNA gene, ITS2, 28S rRNA gene
Rfam family: Eukaryotic large subunit ribosomal RNA (bases 471-1501)
Source: RNAcentral
GGAAGGAUCAUUAUCAAUGAUAUCCAUCAUACACCGUGAACUUUAUGAACUGUCUUUGGGGAUUUUGUAGCCUUACUAAGGUGUUUCAAGUCCCCAAUAAAUAACACAACCUUACAACUUAUAGCAGAGUCAAUUAUUAAAUUAAUUUAGACAACUUUUAGCAACGGAUCUCUAGGUUCUCGCAACGAUGAAGAACGCAGCGAAUUGCGAAAAGUAAUGUGAAUUGCAUAAUUCCGUGAAUCAUCAAAUCUUUGAACGCAUAUUGCGCUACCUGGAAUUCCGGGUAGCAUGCCUGUUUGAGUCUCAGUUUAAACCUCACCCCCCUUUUGGGGGGGUUGGAUUUGGGCUCUGGGUUUAUUUUUUAAUCCCUUGCCUUAAAAAUAUGAGUACUAAACCAAGUACAAAUAGAGCCAGUCCGAAAGGAAUGUCUAUUUUGUGGCUAGUGGAAACCUCCAACAUAACUGAAUCAAUGAGCUCAAAUCAAGCAAGAUAACCCGCUGAACUUAAGCAUAUUAAUAAGCGGAGGGAAAGAAACUAACAAGGAUUCCCCUAGUAACGGCGAGUGAAGCGGGAACAGCUCAAAUUUAAAAUCUCCUCGGAGAAUUGUAGUUUAUGGAAGCGCUAUCGAUGGAGGCCUGGGUACAAGUUCUUUGGAACAAGACAUCAUAGAGGGUGAGAAUCCCGUCUUUGAUCCAGGUAUCUUCACACUAUGAUGCGUCUUUUAAGAGUCGGGUUGUUUGGGAAUGCAGCUCAAAUUUGGUGGUAUAUUUCAUCUAAAGCUAAAUAUUGGCGAGAGACCGAUAGCGAACAAGUACCGUGAGGGAAAGAUGAAAAGAACUUUGAAAAGAGAGUUAAAAGUACGUGAAAUUGCUAAAAGGGAAACGUUUAACACCAGUAUUUGGGAGUUAAAAAUCAACCUUUCAGAAAUGGGGGGUGCACUUUUUGACUUUCAGGUCAACAUCAGUUUCGUUUCUUGUAAAAAAGCCAAAGGAAGGUAGGUGCUUGCACUGUUAUAGCCUAGGCCGAUGCAAGGGAUGGGACUGAGGACUGCGAUACAUGCCAUUGGCUGGAUUCUCAGCAGCCGUGUGGGGCCGGUUUAUAGGCAGCUUGCUGACUAUGGGCCGUGCUUUAUACGCCCUGUUGUACAAUCACAAAUGUAUCUAGGAUGUUGACGAAAUGGUUUUAAACGACCCGUCUUGAAACACGGACCAAGGAGUCUAACAUAUAAGCGAGUAUUUGGGUGACAAGCCCAUAUGCGUAAUGAAAGUGAACGUAGGUGUGAUGGGUUACUCCUGCAACAUCGACCGAUCUUGAUUUUUAAUGAUAGAUUUGAGUAAGAGCUUAUAUGUUGGGACCCGAAAGAUGGUGAACUAUACCUGAUUAGGCCGAAGCCAGAGGAAACUCUGGUGGAGGGUCGUAGCGAUUCUGACGUGCAAAUCGAUCGUCAAAAUUGGGUAUAGGGGCGAAAGACUAAUCGAACCGUCUAAUGGCUGGUUCCCUC